RNAcentral lists this ribosomal RNA (497 nucleotides) under uncultured bacterium. RNAcentral describes it as "partial 16S ribosomal RNA". It matches the Rfam family "Bacterial small subunit ribosomal RNA", at positions 28 to 507 of the family's 1533-position model. The record is from RNAcentral.
GAUGAACGCUGGCGGCGUGCCUAAUACAUGCAAGUCGAGCGAACAGACGAGGAGCUUGCUCCUCUGACGUUAGCGGCGGACGGGUGAGUAACACGUGGAUAACCUACCUAUAAGACUGGGAUAACUUCGGGAAACCGGAGCUAAUACCGGAUAAUAUAUUGAACCGCAUGGUUCAAUAGUGAAAGACGGUUUUGCUGUCACUUAUAGAUGGAUCCGCGCCGCAUUAGCUAGUUGGUAAGGUAACGGCUUACCAAGGCAACGAUGCGUAGCCGACCUGAGAGGGUGAUCGGCCACACUGGAACUGAGACACGGUCCAGACUCCUACGGGAGGCAGCAGUAGGGAAUCUUCCGCAAAGGGCGAAAGCCUGACGGAGCAACGCCGCGUGAGUGAUGAAGGUCUUCGGAUCGUAAAACUCUGUUGUUAGGGAAGAACAAAUGUGUAAGUAACUAUGCACGUCUUGACGGUACCUAAUCAGAAAGCCACGGCUAACUACGUG